AUUGAACGCUGGCGGAAUGCUUUACACAUGCAAGUCGAACGGCAGCACGGGGGCAGCCCUGGUGGCGCGUGGUGAACGGGUGAGUAAUACAUCGGAACGUGCCCGGUCGUGGGGGCUAACGUAGCGACAGUUACGCUAAUACCGCAUCCGAUCUGAGGAUGAAAGCGGGGGACCUUCGGGCCUCGCGCGAUCGGCGCGGCCGAUGUCAGAUUAGGUAGUUGGUGGGGUAAAGGCCUACCAAGCCGACGAUCUGUAGCUGGUCUGAGAGGACGACCAGCCACACUGGGACUGAGACACGGCCCAGACUCCUACGGGAGGCAGCAGUGGGGAAUUUUGGACAAUGGGCGCAAGCCUGAUCCAGCCAUGCCGCGUGCAGGACGAAGGCCUUCGGGUUGUAAACUGCUUUUGUACGGAACGAAAAGGCUCUGGCUAAUACCUGGGGCUCAUGACGGUACCGUAAGAAUAAGCACCGGCUAACUACGUG
RNAcentral lists this ribosomal RNA (484 nucleotides) under uncultured bacterium. RNAcentral describes it as "partial 16S ribosomal RNA". It matches the Rfam family "Bacterial small subunit ribosomal RNA", at positions 30 to 507 of the family's 1533-position model. The record is from RNAcentral.